This 495-nucleotide unclassified non-coding RNA is filed under the name Hevea brasiliensis (rubber tree). Lineage: Eukaryota; Viridiplantae; Streptophyta; Magnoliopsida; Malpighiales; Euphorbiaceae. The record is from RNAcentral.
GGUGUCAAAGGAUACAUCAGUUCCUAGAGCAAGAACAUUAGUUCCCAAGACACCAGAGAAGUUGACAAUGGGGUUUGCUGUCAACCCAACGCUGGUGCAUAUCCCAGCAUAGUCAUGUAAAUAUUGAAGUUCCAUCUUUGCAGAACUUUGAUCAGGAAUUCGGCAACUAAAAAUUGUCUUCAGCCCAGGAGCAGCUUCAUCGACAGUAACAGUUGCCAAAAGAUUUGAGUUCGUGUCUACUUUUAUAUCAGUUGUGAGAUUCUUGUUCUUCAACUGAGUGUUAACAUCAGCCAGAAAUAGAUCACCUUUCUUCAGUCCAGAUGAAGUAAUAGCAACUCCGGUAGCAGAGUAAGUCGUAAUUGUGAAUUUGUGGUCAGUCUGGUAAUCCCUGUAGAGAAGAUCUCGGGUCUUCUUGCCGAUAUCGGAGUAGAGACCAGGUCCUUUUCCCAUGAUUGAAUCGAAAAUGACAGAAGUAGAAGAAAUUGAGGUAAAAGC